This 341-nucleotide RNase P RNA is filed under the name Candidatus Saccharimonadota bacterium. Its description in RNAcentral is "RNase P RNA component class A". It matches the Rfam family "Bacterial RNase P class A". From Rfam's summary of the family: Ribonuclease P (RNase P) is a ubiquitous endoribonuclease, found in archaea, bacteria and eukarya as well as chloroplasts and mitochondria. Its best characterised activity is the generation of mature 5'-ends of tRNAs by cleaving the 5'-leader elements of precursor-tRNAs. Lineage: Bacteria; Candidatus Saccharimonadota. The record is from RNAcentral.
GCAGUUUAUUGGACAGUCGCUUGCUCGUUUAGAGUAAGAGGAAAGUCCGGGCAGCAUAGGAUACAACAGUCGCUAACGGCGACCGGGGGUGACCCUAGGGAAAGUGCCACAGAAACGGUACCGCCCAUACCUAGUAUGGGUAAGGGUGAAAGGAGUGAGGUAAGAGCUCACAGUCGACUAUGGUGACAUAGGAGAGAGGUAAACCCUGUUGGCUGCAAGGAGAUACGCGCAAAUGAGCUAUCCGCUCGUGCGUAUCGAUACCCGCUUGAUUGUUACGGCAACGUAAUGACUAGAUAGAUGACUGUUCACGACAGAACCCGGCUUACAGAUAGGCUGCCACC